GGUAACGGCUCACCAUGGCAAUGAUACGUAGCCGACCUGAGAGGGUAAUCGGCCACAUUGGGACUGAGACACGGCCCAAACUCCUACGGGAGGCAGCAGUAGGGAAUCUUCCACAAUGGACGAAAGUCUGAUGGAGCAACGCCGCGUGAGUGAAGAAGGGUUUCGGCUCGUAAAACUCUGUUGUUAAAGAAGAACAUAUCUGAGAGUAACUGUUCAGGUAUUGACGGUAUUUAACCAGAAAGCCACGGCUAACUACGUGCCAGCAGCCGCGGUAAUACGUAGGUGGCAAGCGUUGUCCGGAUUUAUUGGGCGUAAAGCGAGCGCAGGCGGUUUUUUAAGUCUGAUGUGAAAGCCUUCGGCUCAACCGAAGAAGUGCAUCGGAAACUGGGAAACUUGAGUGCAGAAGAGGACAGUGGAACUCCAUGUGUAGCGGUGAAAUGCGUAGAUAUAUGGAAGAACACCAGUGGCGAAGGCGGCUGUCUGGUCUGUAACUGACGCUGAGGCUCGAAAGUAUGGGUAGCAAACAGGAUUAGAUACCCUGGUAGUCCAUACCGUAAACGAUGAAUGCUAAGUGUUGGAGGGUUUCCGCCCUUCAGUGCUGCAGCUAACGCAUUAAGCAUUCCGCCUGGGGAGUACGGCCGCAAGGCUGAAACUCAAAGGAAUUGACGGGGGCCCGCACAAGCGGUGGAGCAUGUGGUUUAAUUCGAAGCUACGCGAAGAACCUUACCAGGUCUUGACAUACUAUGCAAAUCUAAGAGAUUAGACGUUCCCUUCGGGGACAUGGAUACAGGUGGUGCAUGGUUGUCGUCAGCUCGUGUCGUGAGAUGUUGGGUUAAGUCCCGCAACGAGCGCAACCCUUAUUAUCAGUUGCCAGCAUUAAGUUGGGCACUCUGGUGAGACUGCCGGUGACAAACCGGAGGAAGGUGGGGAUGACGUCAAAUCAUCAUGCCCCUUAUGACCUGGGCUACACACGUGCUACAAUGGAUGGUACAACGAGUUGCGAACUCGCGAGAGUAAGCUAAUCUCUUAAAGCCAUUCUCAGUUCGGAUUGUAGGCUGCAACUCGCCUACAUGAAGUCGGAAUCGCUAGUAAUCGCGGAUCAGCAUGCCGCGGUGAAUACGUUCCCGGGCCUUGUACACACCGCCCGUCACACCAUGAGAGUUUGUAACACCCAAAGUCGGUGGGGUAACCUUUUAGGAACCAGCCGCCUAAGGUGGGACAGAUGAUUAGGGUGAAGUCGUAACAAGGUAG
Molecule: ribosomal RNA, 1251 nt
Filed under: Lactiplantibacillus plantarum
Lineage: Bacteria; Bacillati; Bacillota; Bacilli; Lactobacillales; Lactobacillaceae
Description: bacterial SSU rRNA
Rfam family: Bacterial small subunit ribosomal RNA
Source: RNAcentral